AGUAAUUCAUUUUUUAGUCCGGAACUGACCAGUCUCCGUUGAAUUUUAAGUAGGCCUCAUCUAAAGGCCCAAAGUAGAUGAUGAGCCAGCCCAAGUACCCAUUGUGGAUCAAACAACACAAAAUCGGAGGCAUCGGACGGCUGUGAAUGAUCGAAUUGCUAGGGUUUCAAAUGCACGGCUAUAAAUCUUGUUACGGGGGACUUUAUCAUUUCCUCCCUUACCUUCUCUCUGCUGGAUUUCGCGGCAGGUUCUACAUUUUGAUUUCAUUCUUUCUCGAUUGGGUUCUUUCGUUGGAUUUAAGUAUUGGGCUUUUGAUGGAAGUUGUUUGAUUCUCCUUUGGAUUUCGUUCGUUUUCGAUUAGAUUUUUUGCUUGAUUUAAAAAUUGGGGGUUUUCGUAUUCGUUAGAUUUUUCUGACUGUAUGGAUGAAUAUGAUGAAAGUUAUGAUGCAUGGUGAUCGCCUCGAUGUGAUGAAGAUGUUUUCGCUACGUUCUUUCUGAUUCAUAUCCUAAAUAUGAAGGAUUUAUUUUUAUGUUUUUGUUUUUGUUUUCAAAAUUUAUGAAUUUGUUUUUAUUUUUGGAAUUAUAUGAAUGAGGAAGAUGAUGAAACCAGAAAAUCUUAGGACACCUUCUGACGCAGUGAAAGAUUGCUGUGUAUGAGAAAGAUUUUCAGUUUCUGAUGCUUAUUAUGAUGAUAAUAAACAAAUUUUUGAACUCUAUUUUUGUUUUAGUAAAAAAAAUUAAUAAUAAUAAAUUUCUUUAAAGCUAAAACUUUUUUUUUUUGGUAAAAUUAAAAUAUUUUAUUCAUUUAUUUAUUUUCAUACUUUUUUAAAAAUGAAUUGAAAAGUCUUUUUUUUUUUUUUUUUUAAUUUAAGAGGAAUUCUUUUUUAAUAAAAUUGAAGAAGAUGAAUCCUUUAUAAUUUUUUUAAUAAAAGUGAAAUAACCAUAUUUAUGAAUUAAAGCUAUUUUUUAAAAUAAGAAAAUUUAUAACUUUUUUUAUAUGUGGUUAUCAAAAUCAUUUUUUUUAUUGAAGCAUUUUUCUCAUAAAAUUAUACAAAUAUUUUUUCCUAAAAAUGGUAGUCCUUUUUUAAUAAUAAAGUUUGGAUUGAAACAUCUUUUAAUAAAUAAAAUUGUUAAAUUUUUUAGUAGAGUUAAGCAAAAGAUUUUUUAGAUAAAAUUGUAAUUUUGUUUUUAAAGGGCAACAUUCUUUUUUAAGUAAAAUUGUAAAAAAAAAUCUCUUUUUUAAAAAAAAGUAAAAUUAUAAUUUUUUUAAUAAAAAUUAAGAAAAAAAUUCUUUGGUUUUUAGAUAAAAUUAUAAUUCCUUUUUAAAGGCAAAAUUCUUUUUUAAGUAAAUUUGUAAAAAUAUUUUGUUUCUUAAAGGCAAAUUUUUUUAUAAGUAAAAUUGUAAAAAAUAAAAUAAAAUAAUGAAAAUUGUAUAAUUUUUUUGAAGGGAAAUUUCUAUUUUUAAGUGAAAUUGUAAAAAUUCUUCUUUUUCUUCUUCUUCUUUUAAGGCAAGAUUUCCAUUUUAAAAGUAAAAUUGUAAAAAAAAAAAAAUUAAUAAAAGUUAAGCAAAUUUUUUUAGAUAGAAUUGUAAAAAUCUUAUUUUAAAGGUGAAAUUCUUUUUUUAGAUAAAAUAAUUGUUGUUAAGGCAAAUUUUUUUUUUUUUUUUAAGUAAAAUUGUAAUAAUUUUUUUUUAAUAAAAGUUAAGCAAAAUUCUUUUUUAUAUGAAAUUAUAAAAAAAUUUAUCUAUUACUUUUUUAAGAAUAAAAUUAUGAAAAUCAUUUUUUAAUAAAGUUGGAUAAAAUGCAUUUUUCUUGUAAAUAAAAUCAGAUUAAAAAUUUUCUCUUUAAAUAAAAUUGCAUUCAAAUAUUUCUUUUAAUGACAAUGAGUAAAAUUUUUGUUUAAAUAAAAAUGCAUGUAAAUAUUGAUCAAAUGAUUUGUUGUAAAUAAAUUAAAACGCCUGGAGCAAAUAACUAAGUUGAAAUGGAAGUUGUUUUAAUGCAAAUAAUUUUUUUUUGAGAUUCCUUGAAAAUGUGUUGUAUUAUUUGAAAUAAUCAAAUCAUUUUUUAAAUAAAUUAAUUUGUAUAAUUCUUCAAAUAUUUAUAUGUAUUUUUUUUCAAUGUUAAUACAAACAAUUUUUCAUUUAAAUAAAUAAUUUUUUUUAUUUAAAAAAAAAAGAGUAAUUUCUUUGAUAUAUUUCUUAUAAAAGAUAUAUUAAUUAUUCAUAAUAUCAAAAUAGCCAAAAAUUUUACAUCCAUAUAGGGAAAAGUGUGUUUUUAUAUACAUAUAUGAAAACAAAAUCAUAAAAUAGGAACCCAAAUAAAUAUAAUUUUAAAUAGUUAUUUAAAAAUAAUUAGUAUUAUAUAUAUAUUUUUUGUUAUAUUAUCUUUGACUAUUACUACAAUCUUUUUAUGAUAUAAGUACUUUCAUGUUAAGUAAUAAAACUUGAAUUGUUUUUAAAGCCUUACUAUUUUUGUAAUUAUUUUUAUUUAUUUUUUUCACAUUUAAAACAAUAUAAUAAAAGGUUAUUUGAUUAAAAGGGUUUUUAAAAAUUCAAAUUUUGAAAUUUGACCUUUUACCUUUUUCCAGGAACAAAAAUACUCUUUUUUUUUGAAAAAAAUAACCAUAUUUUUUUUUUAACUUUUCUAUAAACUAGUAAGUGUACAUGUGUCAAAACACGUGAGAGAAUAUGAAAAAAAUUUCAACAAAAAAAUUAAUAUGUGAAUUUAUUCUUUUAAAACUUGUAUAAAAAUCAAGUAGAGAUUUAAUAUCAAAUAAUUGAAUUAAAUACAAAACCAACUAUUAAAAAAAUUGGGAUUACAUAUAAAUAAGAUUAUGACACCAAAUUACAUGAUAAUAAAAAAAAAAAAAACCAAUUUUCUUAGAUUAAAAAAAUAAAUAUCACCUUGGUACUUGGUUAUAGUAUUUAACAAUUUUAAUUUAAAUACAUUGUUUAUUUUUUUUACACUAAAUUUGUAUUUUUUUGUGUUAAUUAUUUUAUAUAUAGUUAAAUACUUUUUUCCUUUUAUAUAAGAGCUUUUUAAUAAAAAUAAGAACAAAAAUGAAUUAAUUUGAACAAGAAAUUUAUGGAUUAAAAAAAAUAAAAUCUCAAACCUAUAACUUUAUCCAAUAGAACCCAUUGGAAGAGUUGAAGAUAAAAAAUUGAAAAGAAUAGAGAAUAACAAAAUAAGAGAAAAGUUUUCAAACUUUAAAGAUGAAAAAUGAAAUGAUCGCAAAACAUUUGAAAAGUUUUCAAAUUUUUAAUGAUGAAAUUUUAUAUCAUUAAUCAAUAUUAAUAGAGUUUAAAGAGAAUAAAAUUUAUAAUGGAUUAUAUUGGCAGAUUGAAGAGUUGGUUACAUCCAUAAGCUCCCAUUGUAUUCGAAUGUUAUGGGCGUUUAGGUGAAUGCAUUAUAAGACUAGGGUAUAUAUAUUUUUCGAUAGCAAUUGCUUUUAGACGUCAAAUAAUUAAAACUCUAACUAAUUGAAAAAAAAUAAAUUCUCAUUUAAAUUUAUUAUUAAUAUUAAAAAAGAGUAUUUUUGGAAAUAAAAAGUGAAAAACAAUUCGUAUUUUUAUAUAGGUAGUAUAGAUACUUAAAAUCAUAAAAGAUAUUUAUGAAAAAAAAUAAUUUUUAAAAUUUUUUUUUAAAAUGAAAGACAAUGAUUAGAUUUUAGGGAUUUAUUUUCCCUUACAUGAAUGUAUGUGAACAAAGGCAGCCUAGAUCUAGCGUCUGGGUUGUGUCCAGACAGUUGAAGCGUAUACCAGAUUGUCUCUCUGGGAAGUAUACAUCGCUUUGGUGGUAAUCCUCGCAUGCAAUUUUUUUUUUUUUUUUAGUUGUUUCUGAACCUUUUGAUUGAUAUGAUAGUUUGCAUUUUAUGUGGGUUAAGAUGGUGGAAGAUCAGGUUUGAUAGCGCAGUUAGCUUUUUCAAAGUGCACAUCAACUGUUUGAUAAAAGUUCUUCAUAGAACUGGGUGAUUACAUUCUGGACUAAUUUCACACUAGAGCUGACUGAAACAAAAGCAUUUAGGAAAGGAAGUGAAUGAGAGAAAAGAUAUAGGGAAAAAAAUCCAACACAAUAGAAGUAGGAAGAGCUCAUCAACAUUUGAAAUGAAACUUCUGCUGAGCCCAUUACUUGUUAAUAUCUGUAAAGGAUUCAAGUUAAUAAUAAAAUAUGAAAGGAAAUUUUUAUAGGAUCCAUAUUGACAUGUAUUGUUGUAUCUAUCUAAGACCCAAUUCAGCUUAAUUGGCAGCUAUUGGACAUUGUACCAACAAUGCAUUAAGAUAGUAAAGCAUGAAUUUGAACCCACAGAAAUCAAUUGCUCAGAGUGAUACCUGAUUUUCUGGUAAGGAAAAAAUAAUGGAACAGAAAUUCAGCAUCUCCUCAAAGCUUAACUAGGGAGACAUUGUGAAUUUUGAGCAGGAAAAUCUAGUCUAAGAAAUGAUAAUGACAUCAAUGUUAUUUAAAGACUUUUGAGUGCUUUCUGGUUGGAGAAGAAAAAUAAGAAAUGAUGAGGUAGGCCAAUGUCCUAGCCAAAAGAGGGUCUACCAUGUAUUAGAACUUUAGUUGAGCUAGGGGUGUUCCAGAUUAUUUUGACGUCUGAUAGUGACUCAAUGGAAAGCUCCUGCGUUUAGAGGUCUUGUACUCAGUGAUGAGUUCAAGCCUUAGAAGUAUGCAGAAGGAUAGGUCUGGAAUAAGCCUUGUAUGAGUCCUUUAAUCCCUGUUUCUUCUUUAACAGGUGCUUUCUGGUAGCAGGGUUUGAUUAUCCUUUGAUUAUCCUUGUAUGAGUCAGUCUCUUCAAGUGCAAGCAAUCAUAUGGGUCUUAGGUAAGCACCUGUCUCCUUGGUAGGCAAAGGGGUAAGCAAACAUGGCUGUCUUUGUUAAUAAGCAAAUUGGUAAAUAAGCAGAAUUCUUUUGUUUGGUUGUCUAUGGUCCUGUGUUGCUUCCUUUGCUUAGAAGGGCUUUUUGCUUCUUUUUCUUCCUUUGAUCUGAUAAAAUUUUGUUUAUUGUCAAAAGAGAAAGAUACCAAGAUAAAAAAGAUGAAACGAUAAUUUAUAGACUCUUCCUACUCAGAACAUGCAUAUAAGGCCAAAACCCAAAUGCAACUUCACAUAGCGACUUGAAAUGGGUUUGUAAUGGUGGUUCAGUUAAAAUUCCAGCACCUGAUGAUCCCUAGUCAUGGAAUUAUAUAGCAGUGGUUACUAGGUAGAGAAUAGAGCAUAGUUACUGUGUUCUAUGGUGCCCUUUUUUUCAAUUAUUACAUUUUACUUGAGAGUAACUCAAGGAAAGAAAGAAAAAAAAGAAACACUAUCAUAAUUAUUUGGCGUGGAUUAAUUGUUAGGUACUUCGAUUCAUUGUUAUUUUGUAUAUAUGUUAGUUGGAUGACUUGGAUGGAGAAGAAAUCUGUCUAGUUGCAAACACUUCUAAUUCAAGGAGAUUUCUCUGGCCAAAAUCUUUCAUUUGAGGAGGUAAAAGCGAUUCAUUGGAGUCUGACACAGGAUGUGGUUUAAAAUGGAAGCCAAAAGUAGUAACAAAUAUCAAGUCAUUAUCACCAAUGGUUUUUCUGUGCCAGAUUGACUGGUGGUAACUCAAAUGUGCUAGAAUCUUUAUCAUAGGUCAGUGGUGAAGGCAUCUCAAGAAUCUGUCAGGCUGUGAUAACAGUUUAUAUUCCUUUGCUACUUGCAAUCAUAUGCGUAGUGGACCUUUACUUCUUAGUUAGAUGUUGUAUUGAACAACGUUAUCCAUAAGAAUUCGCAAGCCUACAAUUACCAGGAUAUGAAGGUAGAACUCAUAACAUGUCAGAAUUUUCCCUGGCUAUGCCAAACAAAGAUUUUGAGUGUUUCAGAAGUUCAUAACAGUGAUCGAUCAUGUCACUGUUCAUGUCAUCUAGUUGCUCGUGUUCUUUGUAGUUUCCACAUAAUCUCAUUUAUACCCCUGCAAUUUCUGUAGUUGUCACUAGAACAGAUUGGGUUUUCAUUUUCUUGAUCAUCUUUUUCUUUUUGAGCAGAUAAAUAUUUCAUAUCCGGGAGAGGCUUUAGGUUUUCUUGCAGUGCAUUUGGAAUGAUAAAGGCAGUGGCAUUUCCUUGCAAAGUAUGUUUAAUUUUCCUCUUAUGUUAAUAUGGUACUUAGUUUUAGGUUGUUACUUAUGAAUUAAAUUUUCUUAGAGAGCAUGUUGUCUGAAUUUAGUUAAUCAUGUAGAUUUUCCUAGUCUACAUACAAGUUUUUAAUCUGAAAGACAACAGAAUGGAUAGCCAUUCUUUAUGAUGUAGGCUUCUUGUCAAUCAUGAAAAUAUCUGUUCAAAGAUUAAAGGAUAUAGCUGAGAUUUGUUAGAAAGAGCAUAUAAGAGAGUACCAAUGAGGAAUCUGAAUAUUUUGAUAAAUGGUGGAUUGAAAAAAAUAAGCUGGUUAUAUAUAUUAUAUAAAACAGUGCUCAAGCAUGGAUAAAGGACUCACAGUUGUCUAACCUGGAUUGAUGGACUGAUAUAACAAAAGAAUUACCCUGUACAACUUGCAUGGAGAUAUUGAAUGACAUUUUGAAUCUCAUAUCCUGACAAAAUAGGAGUCUCAAUUUAGUUGAAUGGCAAAAGAGGAGCUAUUUAGGGGAAUACCAAAAAUGGAGUUGUUUAGUGGAAUGCCAAGGGUGUUAUGCAAUGGGCCAUGGAAAAUAUAGGUUAUGGGUUGGAUGAGAAAAAAUAAUCAUGUUGACUAAAUUCUAUAAAUUUUAAUUUUGAGCAAUAAUUUUUGAAUAGCUAGGUAUUCUAACUUUGAAACUAGUAUGCUCUCAUGAUCUUGGGGUGAUGGCAUAUUAGGCAUGAAACUUGACCUUUGAAUUUGGGAAGCUUAGCCAUCCAAUUUUUACCUAGUCACAUAUAUUUAGGGAUUGUAAAUAACAUUUCUAAUAUUUAGAAUGGUGAUUUGGGUUUUCUUUGUAAAUUACACACAUACACGUGUAUAUGUGCGUAAUGUUUUUUCAAGAUUCCUUAGAACACCCAUAUGUAUUUGACUUUAAUUUCCUUACUUUUUUGAACUCAUAAAAAAAAAAAAAAAAAAUUCCUUACUUUUUUGUGCUUUAUAUUGGUUUUUAGAAUUUUCAGGGGUUUUUAUUGUGAUCUAAAAUGAUUUCUGAUUCCUCUUGCUAUUGCCUUCCCCCUAUAUUUUUCAAAGAGUCCCCAUAUGACAUGAAUGCAAAAGCAUCACUUAUGAAUGUUCAGCAAAAAUGUCAUCAAAGCAUCCAGAUAUGCCUUGAGUUUUUUUUGGUUUUUUUUUUUUGGUGAACUUACUAUUGCAACUGUGUUUUGAUUUGCCUUUGGUGCUACAUCGAGUGUAUGUUUUCAUUUAUUUAUUAUUUAUUUUAAUGGUGGCUCUUGGUUGCAUUGAUACUUAUCAUGUGUAUUCAUCUUCAGUGCAUGUUGGAUUCUACCUGAUAAGUUUAUGGUUUGACGAGGCUCAAAUUUGGAUAAAAAGACCUAUCAUAAUUCAUCUAAAAACUGGAAUUCGUUUGUCUAAUUGUAAUCAUAGUUCUCUCUUCAUCCGAAAUACUGUUGUUGCUGUAAUGUUAGUGUUUAAUUUUUAUUCUCAUUUUUUUCUUUCUGUGCAUUCAAAAGAUGCAUGUUAAUAUUUUGACCAAUUUAAUCUUUAAUUUUUAACUAGAUUUUACAUAUGGUCCCCAGGAAAAGUACUGGGGGCAGUUUUGACUUUCACAGUUUUACACUUGAUAAUUUAGUGUAUGGCUUAUGAAAUAAUAUGUUUUUGUCCUUACUUUGGUGUAACCUUUUUGUAAUAUAGGCAUCAAUAUUGCCUUUUGCAAGGAUUGAGGUGCCUAACCAGGUAAAAGUUAAAGGAGCAAGGAUGGAGCUCUCUUUAACUCAACCAGAUGAUUGGCAUCUUCAUCUACGAGAUGGUGACCUUCUUGAAGCUGUUGUCUCUCACAGGUCACUUUAUUUUUAUGAGCAUGCUCUUUCAAAGUAGACUGAUGAUUAUCCCACUCUUUUAGUUAUUGUCUUGAUGUAUAUCAUACCGACUUGGAAAAAUAGAUAUUUGCUUGUUUUCAUUGAAUGGGUUAAUUGUGUUGUGAAUAUUAUGAUUUCCAUUUAAUCUGGCCAUGAUUAAUUCUUACAGUGCAAGUCAUUUUGGAAGGGGAAUAGUGAUGCCAAAUCUGAAACCCCCCAUUACCACCACUGCUGCUGCUGUGGCUUAUCGGGAAUCCAUAUUGAAAGCACUGCCUGCCAAUUGUGACUUCACCCCUCUUAUGACACUAUAUUUGACCGAUAAAACAAGUCCUAACGAGAUCAAGCUUGCCAGUGAGUCCAGCCACAGCUUGUGAUUUAAAGCCUGUUAGUUGUUUCUACUUUCUGAAGAUUAUUUGUUGCCUGCCUCUCAAUUCUCUGAUUUAACUUAGUUCAAAGUUACUAAAGAGUAUUUAAUUGUAGGUUUAUGUAACUUUUGUUGCUAAUGCUGCUUUUACGUUUAUAGAAGUGUGGAAAACAAAUGUAUAGGCAUUUAGUCAUAUGAUUAUAUUGUUUUCUAGAAUUUCUACUGGUGAACAGGUGUUGCAGUUUGCAUUAGUUUAUGCGCAUACACCUUUUAUACAUUCUUUUGUUGGUAGGUUAGAGUUUUCGAUGAUUUUCUGUAAAUACAUGCUGAAGGUCCAUUAGAGUUAAUCUUCUACUCUUUUCUUAGUGAUCAAGAUUUAGUUUGUUUUUUAUGUAGUUUCAGUGAGUACUACCAUCUAAUAAGCUGUUUGGUAAGAGGGAGCUUAAGGGAAAGGAAUUGAAUUUCGUUUUCUUUACCUGGAGUUGAGGAGAAUUAAAAAAGAACAAGUGACAGUUUUUGCCUUAAAAUGUUACAAACAAAAGAGGGAAAAAUAAAAUGAAAUAAAAAAGAAUGAUGGGGAGUCUUGCUGGUUGCCACUUGUUGCAAUUUUUUAAGUUACAUCCCCACCCCUGUCAUCGUAUGCAAUCAUCACUACUUGAGGAAGAAAAAAGGGGGGAAAUGAUAGAAGAAAAUGAAAUAUGGAAAUAAGGGAUAGAAAAAGAGUUGCUGCUUUGACAACAAAAUUGAGAAGGUUUGUGAAGAAUUUCUGAACUCCUUUAUUGAUAAUGAAUCGGUACACACCAUACACAUAUAUAUACACAAAUGACUGAAUAAGAAACAAUCAAUCUAGCUUAAUUCUCUCCUAAAAUUAGGAAACUAAAUCAUAAGGAAAUAUCCUAAAUGAUCUCUCCUUUUUUUUAUUCCUAAAUUAAAGUCCUAACUUUGGCAUUAUUUCAACACUCCCCCUCAAGCUGGAGAAUAUAUAUCAUAUAAUCCCAGCUUGCAAGUUAAGUCUUCGAAGUUAGGCCUAGGUAAAACUUUGGUGAGGAUGUCUGCGGUUUGGUGCUUGGUAGGAACAUAGUUUAAUUUGACCGUCUCACUAGUCACCUUCUCUGUGAUAAAGUGUCUGUCAAUCUCAACAUGCUUGGUCCUGUCAUGAUGCACGGGGUUCUUUGCUAUGCUUAUAGCUGCCUGAUUAUCACACAUCAUCAGAAUUGGAGAUGAACUCGUUUGUCCCAGUUCACUAAGAACCCUUUUUAUCCAAAUCCCUUCACAGAUUCCCUGUGCAAGAGCUCUGUACUCAGCUUCUGCACUACUUCUGGCUACAACUGAUUGCUUCUUACUCCUCCAGGUAACAAGAUUUCCCCAGACAAAAGAACAAUAUCCGGAAGUGGACCGCCUGUCAAUGAUGUUUCCUGCCCAGUCCGCAUCUGAGUAUACUUCAGUGUCACGGUUCUCUGUCUUUCUGAAGAAUAGGCCUUUCCCUGGUGUCAUUUUUAAAUAUCUAAGAAUCCUGUAGACUGCUUCCAUGUGUUCCUCAGUGGGGCUGUGCAUGAAUUGACUUACAGCACUCACUGCAAAGCCAAUAUCUGGCCGAGUGUGUGAGAGAUAAAUCAAGCGCCCGACAAGCCGCUGAUAUCUCCCCCUGUCUACCGGUGUACUUUCUUUCUCGAUACCAAGUUUCUUCUGACUAUCCAUAGGAGUAUCAAUUGGUUUGCAUCCAAGCAUACCGGUCUCCUUAAGAAGAUCGAGUAUGUAUUUUCUUUGAGAGACUACGAUUCCUUUCCUUGAUCUAGCCACUUCCAUACCAAGGAAAUAUUUCAAAUUUCCAAGGUCUUUAACUUCAAACUCUUCUGACAAAUACUUCUUCAAAUUCUGUAACUCCCCCAUAUCAUUUCCAGAUAGAAUAAUAUCAUCGACAUAGACUAUCAAUAUGACCAAUUUCCCGGCAUGAGAUUUCUUGACAAAUAGAGUAUGAUCAGCCUGACCUUGUUUGUAGCCCAGCUUCAGGACUGCUUUUGUGAAUCUAUCAAACCAGGCUCGAGGAGAUUGUUUAAGGCCGUACAAUGAUUUUUGGAGUUUGCAAACCUGAUUCUUUGCCAUACUUUCUUCGAAACCAGGUGGUAUUUCCAUGUAGACUUCCUCUUCUAGGUCCCCAUUUAGAAACGCAUUUUUUAUGUCCAGUUGUUGCAAGCACCAAUCUUGAUUGACAGCCAAUGAGAGAAGGAUCCUGAUAGUGUUCAGUUUUGCAACAGGAGCAAAAGUCUCCUGAUAGUCUAUCCCAUAGGAUUGUGUAAACCCUCUAGCUACCAAACGAGCCUUGAAUCUUUCGACUGAUCCAUCUGCUUUGUAUUUUAUGGUGAAAAUCCACUUGCACCCCACAGGCCUCUUCCCAACCGGCAAAUCUGUGAUAGUCCACGUCCCAUUCUUCUCAAGUGCAUCAAUCUCAUCUUGUACUGCCUUCUUCCAUUCUGAAAUUUUUAAUGCCUCUUGUAUUGUGUUGGGAACCUGAGUAUCAUCAAGAGAAGUAGCAAAUGCUCUGUAAGAUGGUGAUAACCCUUCAUACGUAACAUAAUUCCCAAUUGGAUGAUCUGUACAUCUCCUAACACCCUUCCUCAAUGCAAUUGGCAAAGUAGAAUCAUCAAUGCUGGGAAUUAACACCUCUCCAGCCCUAUCCUCACCUAUGUUCUCUUCAGGAAGACUUGAAUUGAAGUCAAUAUAUUGGCCACAUGUUGACUGUGAUCCGUGCUCUAAUUCCUGUCUUUUCCUCCUCCUGAUGUAAACUUGUAAGUUCUCAUUAGCAAGUUGUGGGGCUAUAGGUUGAAUAGGCAUGGGAGACUGGAUGGUCACGAGAGAAGGAACAUUUGUGUGCUGGGCUGGCUGAACUGAUGGCGGCAUGGGUGUGGACAACUCAGUGGGCGCGAAUUGGGAAGGAUUUGGUGACUCUGAGUGAAAAGAAGGUACACCAUCAAGAAAAGACUCCCAAACUUGAUGUUCAUUCAUGCUCUCCCCCUGAACAUGAGAUUUGGGAUAGAAGAAGACAUGUUCAAAGAAAGAGACGUCCAUGGUGGUGUAAAAUCUUUUGUUGGUUGGAGAAUAGCAUUUGUACCCUUUUUGGGUUGGAGAAUACCCUAGAAAAAUGCACUUAUUUGCUCGAGGAGCAAAUUUGCUACGAUUUUGAGGAUACACAUGAACGAAUGCCGUACAACCAAAUACUUUGAGUGGUAAAUCAGAAGAGGCGGCAUGGGUGUGAGGAAACUGUUUUAAGAAAAGUUGACGUGGGGAUUGAAAGGUAAGCACUCUGGAUGGCAUACGGUUAAUCAAAUAGGUAGCUGUGAGAAUAGCUUCCCCCCAGAAAUAGUUUGGAACAUUAGAGGAAAACAUAAGGCACCGGGCAACCUCCAAGAGAUGUCUAUUCUUGCGUUCGGCCACCCCAUUUUGUUGUGGGGUGUCAACGCAAGAACUUAUGUGGAUAAUGCCAUGAUUUUGAAGAUAAGUACUGAGACUACUAGUAAAGUAUUCCUUUGCAUUAUCUGACUUGAGGACUUGUAUUUUGGAAUUGAAUUGAUUUUGAACCAUACGAUUGAAGGUUUGAAAAAUGUGCCCGACCUCUGACUUUUCUUUCAUAAGGAAAACCCAUGUUACCCGAGUAUGAUCAUCAACGAAUGUCACAAACCAUCGAGUGCCAGAAAUAUUUUUUAUCCGGGAGGGACCCCACACAUCACUAUGUACUAGAGAGAAAACAGUCGAAGGUUUGUAUGGGAUUUGAGGAUAUACUGUUCGAGUAUGCUUUGCAAACUGACAAAUUUCACAGUGAUAAGAUGCUGGAUUUUUAUUGAUAAAUAAUCUGGGAAACAAUUUUGCAAGGUAAACAAAGCUAGGAUGACCAAGGCGAUAGUGUAACAUUAUAAUCUCACUAUCUUUAUUGACCUUAGAAUUUGACACAGAAUUGAAAGACUCUGACAUACUCUGAGACUGUACGCAACUUGCUUGAGAGACUUGGUUGGAGAAUUGGCCACAUGAAAGGAGGUAGAGCCCGGAACACAGUUCAGCACUGCCAAUCAUCUUCCCCGAUUUCAAGUCCUGAAAAACACACAAGUUUGGAUAGAAUUUAGUAACACAUUGGAGAUCAUGAGCCAAUUUGCUAAUGGACAAAAGAUUGCAAUCCAAGUUUGGAACAUGGAGGACAGAGUCAAGAUAUAAGUCUUUAGUAAGUUUUAUAGAACCUGUCCCGACAAUUUUUGACUUUGAACCAUCAGCAAUAUGGACGGAUGAAUGACCAUUACUUGGCUUGUAAUUUUGAAGAAUGGCAGCAUCUCCUGUCAUGUGAUCAGAAGCACCUGUGUCUACUAUCCACGACCUCAUUCCUCCUCGAUUAGCAGUGAAGGCUACACCGGUAGUACUGCCACUGCCAACUUGGCUUAAUAAUUUCUGUAGCAUCUCCAUCUGCUCUUUGUUGAAUGGACUCGGCUCGGGAACAGAGGUGCUCUCAGAGUUGGCAGCCACGUGUGCUCUGCCAUCUCUGUCAAACCGUGGCUUUGGUUUCCAAUCAGCAGGUUUGCCAUGAAGCUUCCAGCAAGUCUCCUUAUAAUGGCCUGGUUUCUUACAAUAAUCACACCAAGGCCUAUCCCGUUUCUGACGAUCUCCACCACUACUAUUAAAUGACCGAGCCGCAAGGGCAGAGGCAUCCAAAGUUGGGGCAGGUUGCUCUUUUGAUCCCAUCAUCACUUUCUUUCUACUUUCUUCACGUCUAACCUCUGAAAAAGCCUCCCUGAGACUUGGCAGGGGUUUAAUGCCCAUGAUUCGGCCUCUAACAUCAUCCAAUUCCCUGUUUAGUCCUAGGAAGAACUUGAACAGUCUCUUUUGUUCCACAAUUUGCCUGUAUGUUGCUGCAUCAUCCGAACAUUUCCAUGAGUGAGUCUCAAAUAAGUCAAGUUGCUGCCAAUACCUUGUGAGUGUGUUGUAAUACUGAGUAACUGACUGCUCUCCUUGGCGGAAGUCAUGUAGAGCUGAUUCAACCUGAAACAGUUCUGAAGUAUUUUCAGAACUUGAGUAAGUUUCUUUGGCUGCAUCCCAUAUGUCCUUUGCAGUCCCAAACAGCAAAAAAUUUUCGCCUAUGUCAUUGUUCAUGGAAUUGAUAAGCCAUGACAUGAUCAUGCUGUUUUCAAUCUUCCACUUCCUGAAACCCGGUUCUGUAGUUUCUGGCAUGAUUGCUUCUCCAGUGAGGUACUCAUCCUUUCCUUUACCGCAAAUGAACAGCAACACAGAUUGUGACCACUGUAAAUAGUUAUGGCCAUUUAAUUUGUGUCCUGUGAUGAGAAUAGGAGAGGAAUCAUUGCCACCAAGGUUUGGAAUUUCAGAUCUGCCCCCUGAUUCUGGUGACGUGACGCUGGAUACUUGUGAUGAUGCCAUUCCAUAUUUUGUCAUGGACCGGAAAGGUAGAAGAACACUUUUCAAGGCACGUGCAGGGACUGGAGUUGAGAAAAAAUAGCCGAAGGACGCCGGAAAAUCUGAUCAGAGGGCCCGCGGAAGCAAAAGAACCCCAAAAGAGGCACGUGCAGGGCUCGGAUUGCACAAACAGGUAGGAAGGGUGGCUGGUCGGCGUCAGGCGAGCCUGGAGGAGGAAGCGCGUCGCCGGAAAGUGGCUCACGCGCCCUCACGCGCCGGCGCGUGAGAUGCAGUCGCCGGCCGGAAAAACGCGCGUGGGCGGCGCGUGGAUGGGUUUCUGGUUCCGGUGCUUUGGGACAAAUUGGAGAUCUCCUCCAGGCGCUCCUUGCGGUGUAGAAAAAAACCGUCGCCGGAAAGUUCGCCGGAAAAGUUGCCGGCGGUGAGUGUUUUCUGACGACUAUUCGAUUGACUGGAAAGUGUUUUCUCCCUUGGCUCUGAGAACAGGGACUGAUGGCCGGAAUGAGAGAGAGAGAGAGAGAGAGAUGAUCGGAUUGAGAUAUGGCCAGAAAGAUUUGGCCGGAAUGAGUGAUGGCCUGAAUAAGAGGUGGCCAGAAGGGAUUAGGGUUUCAGAAAACUGGCUCUGAUACCAUGAAGAAUUUCUGAACUCCUUUAUUGAUAAUGAAUCGGUACACACCAUACACAUAUAUAUACACAAAUGACUGAAUAAGAAACAAUCAAUCUAGCUUAAUUCUCUCCUAAAAUUAGGAAACUAAAUCAUAAGGAAAUAUCCUAAAUGAUCUCUCCUUUUUUUUAUUCCUAAAUUAAAGUCCUAACUUUGGCAUUAUUUCAACAGUUUGUUAUGCAUGAAAGAGAAAUAUUGGUGGGCUCACUCUAUCUUCUUAUGUCAGGUGUGAGAGAAGCGUACUUUGGUGCAUCCUUUUUGGCGCGUUUUAAUACAAUUCUCAUUUACUGAUAAAAAAAAAAAAUGUCAGGUGUGAGAGAAAUCCAUGUGGAAUCAUUGACCCAAGAGUAAGUAGGUCACUAUUGACCUUGUGACUUUGCACCUGUUUUUGUUUCUUAGUGUCUGAAUUAAAGCCAUUGAAGGUACUUGUUUCCUUCAAUUUCAGCUGUGUUUUUUAGGCUCCUAAGUCAGUUGGCCUAUUGUCCAAUUUAAUUGGAGCCCUUUUCCUUGUAGAAGCACAUGUAGACCUUCUCUCAUUUGAAGCAUUAUAAAGGGGAGAGUCCUUUCUAGAAAUUGGAGUGAGCAUUAGGAGUAUGAAGAGUCUAGCUUUGGUGCCAAAUUUAUUGGUGAGGAGUUGCUCUGUGUUUUUCUUUCUUAUAUUAGGUUAAUUAGCUACAUUAAAGAUAGAAUAGAGUCUGAUAUCAUUGUCCAUAAAUACCCUGUGAGGGGUUAUUUGUAUCUAGCUUUCAUUGUUCUCUCUUAAUAAAAACUCGAGUUAUAUUUUUACAACUAUGUUUGUUUGAUGCUUUUAUCUUAACAUAACUUGUUGGAGGAUGACAUAUACUGUGGGCCCAAAUUCUAACAACUUAAGCUUUUAGGAAAAUUGGUUGCUUAACAUGGUGUUCCAGGUUUAUGUCCUCCCUUCAUCAAUUUAUCCAUCUAAUAAUUGUGAUACAAAAAUUGCAACUUGUUUGCUCCAUGGCAGGUAAGGGUCCACACGUGAGGGGGCUAUUGCUUGAUAUCCUUUUAGGAAAAUUGGUUAUUUGCUUGAUAUCCUUUUAGGAAAAUUGGUUAUUAACUUAUUAUAUAUAUGCAACUUUUACAACAUGAUAUUCUGCUAUAAAUAGUGGCAUAUGGUGGUAAUUCAUUUGAUUGAUUUAACCAGAACUUAAAAUUUGAAAAUUAGGAAAUUUGAAAUAGUGGAAUGUUUGGACAGUUUAUUAAUAUAAUCAACAACACUUGUAAUUUUUAAUGCUGUAAACUCCCCUAGUGGUGGAUUUGUUCCUUUCCAUUUGAAUGACAGUUGGAGGAUAUCUCUCAAAAAUUCCCUGGCCGUGGAGGCUUGUAAUAUUAUCCCUUAGGGAAUUUUUCUUUUCUUUUUAAAUUUUUUGCUCUAGAUUAACUUCCAUGGCUUCAUAAUUAUUUUAAUCUCACAAGAAAUAAUCUUUUAUGAUCUUCAACAUCAUGGUUAAAAAAUUGGACACUUAUGAUAAUUAUCUCUGCCAUUAGUGAAAAUUGAUGUGGUACAUCUUUAUUAAGGUAAAUUCCUGUUGCUUUUUCCUUUACUUUAUAUAUUUCUUCUACCUGCGGUUUAUAUGAAAAUGCUAAUUGCUUCAACAGGAAAUAGUGGGGUAGUUUUUGCUGUAAAGUUGUACCCUGCUGGUGCUACAACGAAUUCUCAAGAUGGCGUUACGGAUCUUUUUGGGAAGUGCCUUCCUGUUCUUGAGGAGAUGGUUGAGCAGAAUAUGCCUUUACUGGUAACUCCACCAGUCCCUAAAUAGAUUUUUUUUCGUACUUUACCUUCUCUAUUUCAUUUGCAACUGAAAAUUUUCAUUCCUUGUUUGAAGAUGAAUACUCAAGACAUGAUUUAAAUUUCCUAGAAGCAAAUAUGUUGUUCCUUGGUGAGACCUAACUUCAUCUCUUGCUGCUUUUGGAAGGCAGCCUGUGAACUUUUGGCUUAUGACAAGUGACCACAGCUUCUGCCCCUAAGUGAAAGUAUAAGUCACAUUCUAAGAUUUUUUUUAAACAAAUGAAAUGAAUGUGCAAAAUAGCAGUGUUGCAGGAAUUGAAUCCUAGUGACAAUGUGUUUUAACUGACAGACAAUUCAUACACACAUGGUUGCCUUAAUGAAUCCAGAAAAUAUUUUUUUAAACAAUGAAAUUACUAUAUAUAUUGUAGUAAUCUCUAGAGUAGUGAAACUCAAACAUAUUACUCAAUAGUACCCAAUUGAUAGUGAGUGAAAAUCACUGUGAUUGAAUGAACCUUUAAAUUGUUGAGUGCAACUCUCAUAAGGCCAUUAUUGAUCCCCACUGAUAUUGUUUUAAAGCAAUACCUCUUAACCUUUUGUUUUCUUUUUUCUAAAGCAAUUUAAAAGCAAUACCUUUUACUAAUUGAAGACUUGGACAAGCAAUUGUAAAUCUUCAAAUGACAAAAGGCUUGAGGAUAAAUUGACAAAAUCUACUAGUUAUAAGGUAGUAGCCGCUUUCCAAACAACAGUUUCUUGGGGCCUGUCAUAAGCUAAGCCAAACACAGUUUUAUAUGGGUUCUAAGUAGGACAUUUCAAUUUAGUUUACUCUUUCUCGAUUAGUGUGAAUUCAACCAGCUGAAGAAGACACCAUUUAGAACCAAGACCUAUCUGUUUGAGCUUCUAUUUACAGGUCCAUGGGGAGGUUACAAAUCCAGAGGUUGAUGUAUUUGAUCGAGAAAAAGUUUUCAUUGAAACUGUUUUAAGACCUUUGAUUCAGAAAUUUCCACGGCUGAAGGUUGUGAUGGAGCAUAUUACAACCAUGGAUGCUGUUAGGUUUGUUGAGUCUUGCAAUGAAGGUAUCUUUAAUCACUUCUAUUUUCACCAUCCCCAUUAUUCUUUCCAUUGUUUUCCCUCUUCUUCUUUCUGGGAGUGUUUUAAUCCAUUUAUUAAUCCUUCCUCUUAUCCCAUUUUUAGAUAUAGUCGUUUUAUCUCACUUCAAUUGUGUUUAUUAGGAUCUGUUGCAGCAACCGUUACACCACAGCAUCUUGUUCUGAAUAGAAACUCUUUGUUUCAAGGAGGAUUGCAGCCACACAAUUACUGUCUUCCAGUACUUAAAAGAGAGACACAUAGUAAGUAUUGUCCUCAUUUUUCUCACAAAGCAGUGAUUAUGGAUUCCAUUCAUGUGGGAUUUUGGAGACUUACGACGUCUUAACUUAGCUCUUAUCAAUUAGAAACCUAAUGCUUUCAUGGCAUCAUCUAGUAUGCAACUUAUCAAUGGAAAGAAGCAUGCAUGAAUGUUUGUCUGAUCGGUAUGCUACUUGCCUGAGUUUGGAAUGAAGAUUUUGAGUAAGAUGAACUGUGCCAUAGGUGUCACUGUUUAAAAUAUUGCCCCACAACACACCUGACAAUUUUUGUUAUGCUUUCACUUUUGGGUUUAUUCAUGUUGAAAUGCAACAAGUGGAUUAUCCUUGUUAUUAGCUCCUUGACUACUUAAUAUAGGUCAUUUUGGGAAAUAUAAUGCAACUUGUCUGACUCUUUGAAAGUGUCUGGUCUAUUUGUGUUUUCCAUAAAAAAUUUGAAUGGGUUUAAAUUAUACCUUGUAAUACUAGUGUACUCUGCAUUCCUUAAAAUUGGAAGUGUUCAUGGAUUUUUCUAGAUGUUGCUAUGCUAUAGAAUUGAAGCAUCCGAAACAGGAAGGGCUAAUGCCAUAGAAAACAGGAAAUCCCCAUUGGAAAGAAAGAAGCUUGUCCAUUUUAAAGAGUCCUUACCAGCAAAAACGCAGGGUUUGCAGAGCCACUAUGAAAAAGUAAUUUGCACAUGCAAAGGCAGAUCAUCAAAAUUUUCCUUUAACACCUUGAGUUUCUUAUCCUAAAUUUCUAGUUGAUACUGGAGGUGUAUGUAAAAAAUCCACUUUUUAUAGGAUCUAAAUUCCAAAAAUUUGUCCUUGAUUUAGCUGUUUGGUAGCAGAAACCACUGAACAUGGUCUUUGUUGAUGUUAAAGGAAACAAAAUUAAAAAUUGAAGGCUUUCUUGUAGAUUCAAAUCAAAUAUUAGGAAAUCAGUAAGAAGGGCACUUUUUUGUUUUUUUCUUUUGGAAUGAAUAUUUGUCAUGGAACUAAAUAACACAAUAAUGCAUAUCAUGUUUUAUUAGUUGUGCAUUCAAUGUUAUUGGAUACAAAGGUUGUUGAAGAUGUCUUUGAGGAUGCAAUUGUUCUUCGGAAAUGUAUAGUAUUAGCUUAUUUAGUGCAUGGAUAAUUUUUGUCAAAGAAUAUUAAAUCAUCUAAUGGAGCAAGUUAUUGCUUUCAAAUGCAGAAUAUUGAAAUUUGAAGUAUUGGGAAUUACUUAACUCUUGGAUAUUUUGCAGUUUAUGGUUUAUCUGGAAGAUAUCAUGUGAAGGCAGUGGUUGUGAUGAUGGUUACAAAAAUAAGUUCAAUAUAUUGGAAAAUUUUUAUGAAUGAACUAUGAAUGCAACAUGGCAGUUGCGUUAAAGAAAAUAGGGGAGGAGCAUGUGCUAGCAUUCUAGAAGUAUCUGGUUUUACCAGGAAUUAUUUGCGAUAUCGUGAAUUCUCCAAUUAUGGCAUUAUAGGGAUUGAUUUAUCUAUACUUAACCUGGUUCAUGAAAUUUGCAAUUUCUGAAGAACUUUGUCUGUACCAAUUGCAGUAUUCCUUUUGACUAUUUUUGGUUUCUGAGCCCAUUUGUUUGUCUUUCUUACAGGACAGGCUAUUGUGUCAGCUGUGACUAGUGGAAGUAGAAAAUUUUUCCUUGGAACUGAUAGCGCCCCUCAUGAGAGACGACGCAAAGAAUGUCCUUGUGGAUGUGCUGGUAUAUACAAUGCCCCUGUUGCCUUGUCACUAUAUGCCAAGGUGUUCGAAGAGGUAAUUUCUCUCAACAUCCGGUGUAUUAUGUUAUUGUUUUUCUUUUAAUUUUUCAUCUGCUUUUACAUUUUCUGGUGGGGAAAAUCUAAAAUCUCACAUUGAUUAGCAGCAUUAAGUAAAAUCAUGAAUGCUUGUCAGUGGUUGAUGAAUUUGUAGAUGUCUGAAUGAAAAUCUUAGUUGGCUUGGCUGUAUUAGGAAUAAAGCCCACCAAUAGAUGACAUGCAAAUAAUAGUGAACUUCUUUUAGUAGACGGCUGAAGGGGCAUCGAUCCAGUUCUGACAUUAUAUUGAAGUUUUGGUCAGCCUGAUACGCUGGCUUGCUCUGUGGCAGCCCUAUGGUACCGUAGAUCAGUAUCUGCAAUAUUAAAUGAUCACAUGACUAACCCAUGAAACACUGUUUAUUCCACAACCAUUGAUUUUUAAUCUCUAGAGUACAUGGCUUGCCUGUCUAAGCCUCUGGUGCUGAAUGACCUGUACCUGCUGCCUUGAAUGCAUUUCUAAAGAUUGAAAUGCCUAGACUCUUGUCCUGCAUGGUUCUUCUAGGUUAUGGAUUGGAUAUGCUCAUUUAUGUCAAACAUUUCUUGUUUCUUAAAGACGAAAAAUCUACCCUCAUUUGCAUGUAGGCGUUUAAGUGAAUUGACUUUGUUGCAAAACAUGCUGGUGAUUUUAGGCAGGUGCACUCGACAAGCUAGAGGCGUUUACGAGCUUUAACGGACCAGACUUCUAUGGGCUUCCAAGAAACACAUCAAAGAUCAAAUUGAGCAAGACCCCAUGGAAGGUGCCAGAGUCCUACUCAUUCUCCUUUGGGGAUAUUGUUCCAAUGUUUGCUGGUGAAACACUCGACUGGCUUCCAUCCUCCCCUUGAUCAGUGCCAUUCCAUCAGACAAAUGAGACAAUGGUUGUAAGGUUCUCUCUUUACCCCUCAUGCAAUGUCUCCACACCAGAACUAAAACAAUGGAGACAUUGUUGUCUUUUAGAAUAAUUGCUAACAGGGAUCCUCAUCUUAUUUGGCCCUGUUUGGAACCAUUCUUGAAAAGUCAAAAACUCUUUUUUGGAAGUUCAAUAAGAUUGUUCUUUUCUAAGUUCAAUAAAAUCUUUAUAACUUGUUUGGCAGAUACCAAAAAGAGCAAGAACCAGCUUCAUGCCUUGAUUAAGGCAGUUGUUGUAUUAAAUAAACACACCAAACUAUCUUUAUUGGAAAAGUACAUCCAUCUCUGUACUUCCAAUAGGCUUUGGUUCGUUCUUAUCCUUUGAAUCCCAGCUAGGCCCAAAUAAUUCACUGGGAGACAGAGACAAACAAAGAACUGCAGUCCACAGAUUCCCUGAUUUGUACUUAAUUCAUUCAUAUCUCAUUGAUGUUUGCUACCAAACUGCCACCAAAUUCAAAAAUAGAAAAAUGAAAAAAAAAAAGAAAAAAAAAGAGGAGAAGGUGCCAAACCAGUAUGUUUGGUUUCAAGAAAAUUUGGUGGAGAAAAUAGAGAUGAAGGGUGGAACGUAAGAAAAAGUGAAAAAAAAAAAUAUAUUUAUAUAUAUGUUUUAUUAAUUUUAUUUAAUUCACUUUUUUUUAUUAUAUAAAAAUUAAAUAAUUUUAAAAUGCAUAUAUUUUUAUUCAUUUUAAUGAUAUUUAAUUUUCUUUUAUAUAUAUAUAUAUAUAUAUAUAUAUAUAUAUAUAUAUAUAUAUAUAUAUUAUAAUAAAAUUGACAUAAAAAAACCAUUUUUUUAAAUAUUUUUUUUCUUAUUACUCUCCAAACGCCAAACAUAACUUUAGGAUUGUAUGAUAAUCCAUAUCAACUUGGUUAGUUGGUCAUGUUGUGGGUUUGUUUUACAUUUUAUAUCACCCAUGGUAAUUUUUAUGUUUAAAUUGUUUUUUAAAAGUUAAAAAUAUUAUUUUCAUGAAAAUAAAAACCCAUUUAAUUGGAUAUUAUUUAUAUACAUUUCUUAUUUUUUAUUUUUUAAAAAUAGAGAAUAAUGGUAAUUGCCCGUGAAAGCACACAAGCAUUUUAAGACCAACAUUUUUUAAACUUUGUCAAAAAAAAAAUUAUUCUUAAAAUUUUUAAAUUUAGAGAACAUUUUAUAUAAGAUUUAUUAUAUUUUAUAGAGAAUGUAUUAUUAUUUUUAUUUUUAUGAUUGAAAAGUAAAGAUAUAUUCAAAUUCACUUAAAAUAGAAAUGUAUCCAAAUGAUCUAUUUGGUAAUUGUUUUUGAAAACAAAUUUCUAUUCUUAAAAAAAAAAAAAUGGAAAACAUGUUUGACAACCAAUUAAAAAAAAAAAAAUUCUAUUCUUAAAAACAAAAAACAAUAUUUUCAAAAAACAUCAUUUAAUUGUUUUAACUUGUUUUUUAAAUAUUAUUUUAAAAAAUAAUUAUACAAAUUACAGAGCAUGGUUAAAAAAUGAAACAUUAUAUGUAAAAGUUAUUUUAAAAAUAUGUUUAAAAAUAGGUUAAAAACAUUUCAACAGAUUUUUUAACAGACAUUUGUUUUAUAAAACAUUAAAAAAUAGUUUUUUAAGAACGCUUUUCAAAAACAUUUGCCAAACAUAGCCUAAAAUUUUGAUUUCUUUAUCUUGGGUCACCUUCAUUUUCCUUUUUACUAGUGUUAGGUUUUAUUUUGAAGUAUGCCACAAAUAACAGGGAAAUCACACCUAAACAUCCAAGCAAAAUAUUCCUAAAAAGAACAAAACGAAAUUCCAAUGCAAUCUUCAGCACACCCCACACUGAGUUAGAAAGACCAGUCAUGUUUAUUUUUUUAUUUUUUUUUAUUUUUUUCAAACUAAUAAAGAUCCAAGUCAAUUAUCUACCAGUCAAACGUUGUAUUAGUUGACUAUUAGUGUUCUUCUUUUAAUUUUGUGGUCACCAAGAAUGAGUCCAAUUUUAUUUUGUUUGAAAAUCUCAGGCCACUUUGGAUUUUCCCUUCAUUUUUUCCUUGGGGUUGACUAGAAUACAGCCAGAGAUUUGAACUUGUCAAUGCUAUUAUACUUUCAGCUUCCAUCUCAACCACUUCGGUUCUAGACUGGAUUUUAAGUAGAUAAGAUCCAACAGACUUGAUGGUAUGAAACCAAGGAAAUGGGGAUGAUUCCUUCUCCAAUUUCAUUGAUUUUUGAAGUGGGUUUUUUCCUAGAAACUUGCAUGGCAAAGGAAAGAAAAGCUUGCAUAGUGCUAAUGAAAUAAGAAUAGAUGUCACAAUGAUGCGAGACCACCUACACUCUUCUUCUUAAAAGCUUGAGCUAAUUGAGGAAAAAUGUAAAUUCAUAUAUAAGACAGGAUUAACAUUCUAGAAACCUAAGCUAAGGGGUAGAGGUAGCUCCAUGUAUGGGAAAUUGGAUUGUUGUCUGUCCUAAGCACUUGAGAGCUCCUUCACAGGGAAUUUGUUCAAUCGCAACCUGAACCUCCAGAAAAACACCAAUGAUAAUUUGAACAGGCAGGGUUUCAAAUCCAUACCUGAAACUCCAUUGAACAAAAAAUCAGUAGAAUCCAAUAUAGCAGAGUGAUAAACUGAUAAUAUUAUAACAUUUUUCUUGUUAAUAGGUCGUGCUGCUUCGUCAUUUUUUGACAUGUUCGACACAUCAAGGAGCACCGAGUCGUCUUGUAGUGACCGGCACUGGGUUGCUUCUGGUUACCAAGUCAAAAGCGCGUUAAAUAUUCAGUUAGUUCCAAAUAGUGUGUGAUUAUUAUCAACUUGGGUUUACUUUUUCAUUACUAAAUCAAUCAUUUCGGACUUUAGAGCACUAGUGGCCAGAAGAACCGCAAAUAUUGACAAUUGAGGGAGAAAGUAAAAUUCAAGCAAAGAGACAAUUAUUAUAAUAUUACUUAUUAGCGUAGUGCUUUGCAUGUGUAGGGUAUGGUCACAGACUCACAGUGAAGUCUAGGAGCCUGUGAAGAGGAACAUGUUAUAAAGGAAUAUCGUAUUCGGCCAAGUUAGAGUCUUUUAUUCAUUGUUUAUUGAUCGUGGUUGACCCCAGAGGUCUUGAACAAAGUAUAUUAGGAGUCUCAAGUUUCAGAAGGAAACCCAUGCAUAAGUCUAGAGCUUCAAGCAGAGAUGAGAAUCACUAGUAUGAAGGCAUUCUUCUUCCUUUCUCUUCUCUUCUUUGCUGGUCCCUCCAUGGCAACUGACACCAUUUUCCCAGGCCAGACUCUUUCUGGCAACCAGACAAUCAGAUCCGAUGGUGGAACGUUUGAACUGGGCUUCUUCACUCCAGGUAACUCUUCAAACUAUUACAUUGGCAUGUGGUACGGAAGGCUACCCACCAAGACAGUGGUUUGGGUAGCAAAUAGAGACCAGCCCCUCUCUGAUCCAUCUUCUUCCACAUUACAACUUUCCCAUGAUGGGAGGUUAGUCCUACUCAAAGAGUCCAGAACUGAAAUCUGGUCGACAGAUGUGAACUCUACUACACCUAAUUCCACCAUUGCUGUUCUUCUCGACAAUGGAAAUUUAGUUGUACGGGGGAGGUCGAAUUCAUCCAGUGUAUUGUGGCAGAGUUUUGAUCACCCAACUGAUACGUGGCUGCCUGGUGGGAAGAUUGGGGACAGUAAGCAUGGCAAGGGAAAGAUAGUUCUGACUCCAUGGAGAAGCCCAGAGAAUCCAGCAACUGGGAUUUUCUCCGUUGAUGUGGGACCAAAUGGAACAAGUCAUAUACUGCUAUGGAAUCAUACUAAAAUCUAUUGGAGUAGUGGGGAGUGGACGGGGAAGAACUUCGUCAAUGUUCCUGAAAUAGACAAAAACUAUUACGUUAAAAAUUUCAGGCAUGUGAAGACGGAGAAUGAAAGCUAUUUCACCUAUGAUGCUGGUGUCCCUACGGCUGUCACUAGAUUCCUGCUGGAUUACACUGGGCAGCUCAAGCAGUUCGUUUGGGGGGAAGGCUUCACGCAGUGGACCAUCUUUUGGACGCGGCCGACACUACAAUGUGAAGUCUAUGGUUUCUGUGGGGCUUUCAGUAGCUGCAAUAAUCAGAAGGAGCCUCUUUGUGAGUGCAUGCAAGGUUUUGAACCCACUGUCCUUAAAUAUUGGGAAUUGGAAGACCAUUCGGAUGGGUGUGUGAGGAAGACCCCUCUAGAAUGUGGAAAUGGAGGAAAUGAUACCUUUUUUGUGAUUUCCAACACAGUCUUUCCAGUUGAUUCAGAGAAUUUGACUGUUACCACGUCUGAGGAAUGUGAAAAAGCUUGUCUGAGCAAUUGUUCCUGCACUGCAUAUGCUUAUGAUAAUGGGUGUUUGAUCUGGAAAGGAGAUCUCUUCAAUCUUCGAAAACUCCAGGAUGAUAAUGAGGGUGGAAAAGAUUUACAUGUAAGAAUUGCAGCGUCUGAGCUGGUGGAAACUGGAACAAACACCACUAGAGAGAAGGCCACCACAGAGAAGGUCACUUGGAUUCUCAUCGGGACAAUUGGAGGGUUCCUUCUGCUCUUUGGUAUUCUUCUGGUUGUUUUCUGCAGGAGACACAGGCGACCCAACAAAGCACUCGAGGCAUCUGACGAUUCUCUGGUGCUCUUUAAGUACCGGGAUCUGCGAAAAGCAACGAAGAACUUCUCCGAAAAACUUGGAGAAGGAGGAUUUGGUUCUGUUUUCAAAGGCACCUUGCCCAACUCAACUGUCAUUGCUGUGAAGAAGCUCAAAAAUCUAACACAAGAGGAGAAGCAGUUCCGCACGGAAGUGAGCAGCAUUGGAACAAUCCAGCAUAUCAAUCUUGUCCGCCUUCGGGGAUUCUGCGCAGAAGCUUCAAAAAGAUGUCUAGUCUUUGAUUACAUGCCCAAUGGUUCUCUAGAACAUCACCUGUUUCGAAAGGAUUCCAAGAUCCUGGACUGGAAAACAAGGUAUGAUAUUGCAGUGGGAACUGCCAGAGGAUUGGCUUACCUCCAUGAGAAAUGCAGAGACUGCAUCAUACAUUGUGACAUCAAGCCUGAGAACAUUCUAUUGGAUGCUGCAUACAACCCAAAGGUGGCUGAUUUUGGGCUUGCCAAGCUCAUAGGAAGAGACUUCAGCCGUGCGCUAACCACUAUGAGAGGAACCAGAGGCUACCUUGCACCAGAAUGGCUUUCGGGUGAAGCCAUCACACCAAAAGCUGAUGUUUUCAGCUAUGGAAUGCUGCUUUUCGAGGUUGUAUCAGGAGGGAGAAACAGAGACCUGUUAGAAGAUGGGACAGAUGAUUACUUUCCCACCCGAGUUGUUGAUGUAAUAAACAGAGGAGACGAUGUUCUUACCUUGUUAGAUAGCAGACUAGAAGGUAAUGCCACCAUGGAAGAGCUCACCAGAGCCUGCAAAGUAGCUUGUUGGUGCAUUCAGGACAAUGAGAAGGACAGACCAACAAUGGGGCAGAUAGUUCAGAUUCUGGAGGGAGUCUCAGAAGUGGGUACACCUCCAAUGCCUCGGUUUCUCCAGAAUCUCUCGGGAAAUCCAGCCGAUGGUGCCAUCAAUUUCCAGGAGACUUCUUCAGAAGCUUGAAGAGUCAUUCUUCAAUGAGAUUCAGGUAGUGAAAAUAUGGUACUUGGGUACCUUCCAGUGAGUGAUUACAUUCUCCAUCUUAGUCGUUUACAAGUCAAAGAUCGAGUACUCUUUCUUAUUAGGACUUCGAAGCAGGAGCUGCUGAAUCCCCUGGGUGGCCACGCCCGCAAAGGAUACGAAUCAGCUACUCAAAAUAAACUCAGCAUAUGUCAAUUCCACCAUGUCCCAACAAAAAUGAAGGUGGAUUUGAUGCAUGUAGUUUUGAUUUGAUUGUGAAAAACAAAUGUGUUAAUGUUAUAUGCAAAGCUUGUUCGAAUGUGUUUCUUAUACUAAAGCUUGCUUGAUUGAAUACAUGAACUUGAAAGAGAAGCCCACAUUCAAUGGCACCUCAACUUGAUGGGGCUUUGCACUAGUAUAAUAAUUUUCAAAAAAAUCAUACCACAAAAAGUA
This 26094-nucleotide long non-coding RNA is filed under the name Vitis vinifera (wine grape). RNAcentral describes it as "long non-coding RNA (VVIN_LNC003695)". The stretch from base 589 to 684 matches the Rfam family "Small nucleolar RNA snoR31/Z110/Z27". The record is from RNAcentral. Lineage: Eukaryota; Viridiplantae; Streptophyta; Magnoliopsida; Vitales; Vitaceae.